GGUGGGAUUAUGCUUGGACCU
Molecule: non-coding RNA, 21 nt
Filed under: Arabidopsis thaliana (thale cress)
Lineage: Eukaryota; Viridiplantae; Streptophyta; Magnoliopsida; Brassicales; Brassicaceae
Source: RNAcentral